GCCUACGGGAGGCUGCAGUGGGGAAUCUUGCGCAAUGGGCGAAAGCCUGACGCAGCGACGCCGCGUGUGGGAUGACGGCCUUCGGGUUGUAAACCACUGUCGCGAGGGACGAAGAUCUGACGGUACCUCGAAAGGAAGCACCGGCUAACUCUGUGCCAGCAGCCGCGGUAAUACAGAGGGUGCGAGCGUUGUCCGGAAUCACUGGGCGUAAAGGGCGCGUAGGCGGCCUGAUAAGUAGGGGGUGAAAUCCUGGGGCUUAACCUCAGGGCUGCCUUCUAGACUGUCCGGCUCGAGCACAGUAGAGGCAGGUGGAAUUCCCGGUGUAGCGGUGGAAUGCGUAGAGAUCGGGAAGAACAUCGGUGGCGAAGGCGGCCUGCUGGGCUGUUGCUGACGCUGAGGCGCGACAGCGUGGGGAGCAAACAGGAUUAGAUACCCUGGUAGUC
RNAcentral lists this ribosomal RNA (443 nucleotides) under uncultured bacterium. Its description in RNAcentral is "bacterial SSU rRNA". It matches the Rfam family "Bacterial small subunit ribosomal RNA", at positions 337 to 795 of the family's 1533-position model. The record is from RNAcentral.